UCAUUUUUGGACAUUAUCGAUUCAAUGAUUUAUUUUUAUACUUUGAACCGUUGACAUACUUUCGUAGUAAUGAAGCUCUCACACUUGAAUUCCCAAAGAAACUCAAAUUCACAAAACUUAAAUUAGAUAUUGCAUUCUGUGUUUCUUGUAGGAAUCUCUCCUUUAUGAACUAAUUGUUCAUAAAAACUAAAUUGAACUUGUAGUUGCAUAUUUAGUGCCUUUGAAACUUGAAUUUUUCAUUCAAAACUUACCACAUGAAACCUGUAGCUUUCAUGCAUAAAUUAAACCAAUACAUGUCUAUAGAACCCGAAUGUUCUACGAUAUAUAUCUAUGGCUUCCCAUAUGACGAAUCACGUUUUUGUACCCUUCGUUUUAGGGACAUGUCGAACUUGAGAAAGCUCGAUUUCACCGCUCUGGAAGUAUCUGGA
Molecule: long non-coding RNA, 428 nt
Filed under: Malus domestica (apple)
Lineage: Eukaryota; Viridiplantae; Streptophyta; Magnoliopsida; Rosales; Rosaceae
Description: long non-coding RNA (MDOM_LNC004001)
Source: RNAcentral